CGUUAUGAGCAAUGGAGUGACGCAGAAGGAUAGUGACGCGAGCUGAUGGAUGCUCGUCCAAGCAGUGAGGCUGAUGUGUAGGCAAAUCCGCACAUCGUAAGGCUGGGCUGUGAUGGGGAGGAAAAUUUAAGUACCGAAGGUCAUGAUUUCACACUGCCAAGAAAAGCUUCUAGCCAGGCGAAGGUGCCCGUACCGCAAACCGACACAGGUGGGUGAGAAGAGAAUUCUAAGGCGCGCGGAAGAACUCUCGUUAAGGAACUCGGCAAAAUGACCCCGUAACUUCGGGAGAAGGGGUGCCUCGGUAGGGUGAAUAGCCCGAGGGGGCCGCAGUGAAAAGGCCCAAGCGACUGUUUAGCAAAAACACAGGUCUGUGCGAAGCCGCAAGGCGAAGUAUACGGGCACGCCUGCCCGGUGCUGGAAGGUUAAGAGGAGUGGUUAGGGGCAACCCGAAGCUAUGAAUUGAAGCCCCAGUAAACGGCGGCCGUAACAAUAACGGUCCUAAGGUAGCGAAAUUCCUUGUCAGGUAAAUUCUGACCCGCACGAAUGGCGUAACGACUUGGGCGCUGUCUCAACGAGAGAUCCGGUGAAAUUUUAAUACCUGUGAAGAUGCAGGUUACCCGCGACAAGACGGAAAGACCCCAUGGAGCUUUACUGCAGCUUGAUAUUGGACUUUGGUACGAUCUGUACAGGAUAGGUGGGAGCCUUUGAAGCCUGAGCGCCAGCUUGGGUGGAGGCAUCGUUGGGAUACCACCCUGAUCGUAUCGGAGUUCUAACCUAGUACCGUGAUCCGGUAUGGGGACAGUGUCAGGUGGGCAGUUUGACUGGGGCGGUCGCCUCCUAAAAUGUAACGGAGGCGUUUAAAGGUUCCCUCAGAAUGGUUGGAAAUCAUUCGCAGAGUGCAAAGGCAUAAGGGAGCUUGACUGCGAGACCUACAAGUCGAGCAGGGACGAAAGUCGGACUUAGUGAUCCGGUGGUACCGAAUGGAAGGGCCAUCGCUCAACGGAUAAAAGCUACCCUGGGGAUAACAGGCUUAUCUCCCCCAAGAGUCCACAUCGACGGGGAGGUUUGGCACCUCGAUGUCGGCUCAUCGCAUCCUGGGGCUGAAGUAGGUCCCAAGGGUUGGGCUGUUCGCCCAUUAAAGCGGUACGCGAGCUGGGUUCAGAACGUCGUGAGACAGUUCGGUCCCUAUCUGUCGCGGGCGUAGGAAAUUUGAGAGGAGCUGUCCUUAGUACGAGAGGACCGGGAUGGACGUACCGCUGGUGUACCAGUUGUCUCGCCAGAGGCAUCGCUGGGUAGCUAUGUACGGAGGGGAUAAGCGCUGAAAGCAUCUAAGCGCGAAGCCCCCCUCAAGAUGAGAUUUCCCAGUAUGUAAGACCCCUUGUAGACGACGAGGUUGAUAGGUUCGAGGUGGAAGUGCGGCAACGUAUGCAGCUGACGAAUACUAAUCGGUCGAGGGCUUAACCAA
This 1465-nucleotide ribosomal RNA is filed under the name metagenome. RNAcentral's name for it is "bacterial LSU rRNA". It matches the Rfam family "Bacterial large subunit ribosomal RNA", at positions 1453 to 2925 of the family's 2925-position model. The record is from RNAcentral.